CCAAGAAACGGCCCUCAGAUCAAUCUGCUGCUGUUUCAGGACUACAGUUGAGUUGUCAAAGUGAUUUGGAGCAGCAGGAGAACAAGGAGGAGAUGGCGCAGACAGCUACAUCUGCAGAGAACAGGAUGGCUAAAGAUUCAUCAAAGGGAGUGCUUGCGAAGCACAGAGCAGAAAAGAAACCAAAUUCCAGGCCUGACGUUGAUGAUAAAGAUAUCAGUGUUACAGAAAGUGUUACCCCAAAAAACCCAGGAGAACACAUCUAAUGACUCCUCUGAAAACAAAAUGAUUCAAUCUUGUCAGAAAUGAUUGUACUGCUGUCCACAUCAUUGAGUAUGAAGGCGGCAAGGCAACGAAAGAAGAAAUAGAUACUCCAGUGAUGGUGAAAUGAAUGUUGCUGUGCUUUCAAAAACACUGAGACUGAAAUGCGGUGAUACUGAUUUAUAUUAUUGAAGGAAAUAGUAAAAAGAGGAGGAAGAAGAGUUACUAAACCUUCAGAUAACUUUGGAACAGAACAGCUUCAGAACAGUGGAAGUGCAACCUUGUUACUCUUGCUUGACCUCUCAGUGGCUUUCAGUAUUGACCAUCGUAUCCUCCUGAACCGUCUCUGUGAGUUGGGAGCAGGUAGUAAUGUGUUGCAGUGGUACCGCUCCUACCUACAAGUCUGGGUUCAGAUAGUAGCAUUGGCUAGACCCUGUUUUACAUGUCUGAAUCCUCUGGAUUUGUUUUAUUUGCUUUUAAGUGUUUUUCUAAUGCGGUUUUAGGUUGUGUGUCUUUGUUUUAAUGAUAUAUCAUUUGCUUUUUAGACUUUUGAGAGAUUUUUCAAUUUUAAGCAGUUUAUAAAUGCUUUUUAAUAAAUAAGUAGGAAGUGCAGCCUACAUACACACAGCCUUUAGGCUACAAUUCUAUUGCACACUUAACCUGGGAGUAAGUCCCAUUUCACUCAUUGGAGUGUACUUCUGAGUCAAUAGGCAUAAGAUUGCACUGCUACAAAAUUGAUCAGCGACUAUGCUAAAAUGCCGCCUUACCUACACCUGCAAGAAGCACUGGCCUUGCCCUCUGUUGCACCUGGUAAUCUAGUUGCAGAAAUGAUCCACCUGGCUGGGCUUUGGAGAGUUCUGUGAUAAGCAGGUAUCAGCAGGUUUCACUUUUCCAAGGCUGGAUCUGCAGUGAAUGAUUGGAAAUGCUCCGGUGACUGAAUUUUCUCCUGCCAUGCCACUGUCAGGGCAUAGGAAGCCUGUAGGAUUAAACAGAGAGAAGGAAAAAACAAAGCACAAUUCUACUUUUCCUAAAGGGUAGGGGGAACACCACUCCAGACACUGCUUCCUUGCAAUAGUAUCCAUAGCAAAAGAGAAAGAUGCUUUGGCCCUGUUAGGAAUAUAUCCAUAACACAGGGCAGGAUGCAUGGUGUAUAAAGAACUUUGCAAUGCUAAUUUUCCAAGGGUAUAUUUGCAGCUCCUGUUCAGAUUAUCAUUGGCAACACCAGUACUCUGUUUGAUCCAUACUGCCUCAAGUAAUAUGGCUGGUGAAUGCAGCUUUGUAAAAACUGUGGGCUGAAUGUGUGCAGUUCUGCACAUUUCUUCACAAAAUAAACUUUGCUGAUCUCAAUGGGACUUGCCAGGAAAGUGUGUAUAGGACUGCAGCAGGUUGGUUACACUUGAGUUCCAUUGAUUUUAGUAGGAACUAAGUCAUGACUAACUUUCCCCAUUGAUUUCAAGGGAACCAAUACACUGUCUUCAACACAUGCAGUAGGAUCAGAGCCAGACAGUUCAUAGAUCAAAAUCCCAAUGUCUUCAGAAGAAGAUGAAGUGUAUACUCCCUCUCUGCACAAUCUGUGCUAGUAAAGACCUUCUCUAUUUAGUCCUAAGCUUCUUUCCAGAAGCAAAUAUAGUCUCAAAUCCCUGACAAUUUCUCUUACUCUUUUUAAAGUGUUGAACAUUGUUUGCCCAAGAGUCUGAAGGUUAAAGAAUUUCCAGAUCCACUACGAUUCUCUUCCAAGAGUAAUGGGAUCAAGAAAAGACCUAUCAUGAAAUGUGCUUCAAGGGAAAUAUUGUUUUAAACAAAGAAUGAAGCUUUGCUAGAACAGAAUAUAAAAUCUAUUUAGGAAUAAAAAUAAGAAACAUUAAAAAAUAAUCCCAAAAGAUUGUAUCAAACAAAAUCAAGGUAGGAGUACAAAAAUGUCCAAUGAAACAGUCAUCAAUUCUCCUCUUUUUCCAUAAUUUGCCACAGGCUCUGUUGCUGUGGGUUGCAGAAGGCUACAGAAGAAAAUUAAGAAAGCUGAAUUAAAUAAUAUUAAUAAUUAUGUCAUUGAUCAUUCACCUCCAAUGUGAAUAGGAAAUGUAGAGCAGGGUGGAAAACUUCAUACAUGUCAUGUAAUUGACUAAGCAACAUACCUAGUUUCAUUUAUUUAUUUUUUUAAAAAUCACAAAUUAUAAUUCUAGUUCUAUUUAUUUCAUUGAAAGAAGAAAGCCACCUGCCUCCUUCAUUUAUUUGUUUGGGUAUUUGUUUUGUCAGCUUCUGGGCGGGGGGAGGCUUCCUUCUCAGAGACUCUGUGGGAUAUAAUAUAAAUUAAACACAGAAAAGGUCAAAAACUUGUUUUCAAACUUUUCUUGAGUACAAUUAGCGUAAUAUUUUAACAGCUGGCAGCUGCAGUAAUUACUUUUAGAUUAUACAUGGAAAUCUGUUGAAAUAUAAUUAGUCUGAUCUAUGAACCAGGUAAUUAUAGUAAACACUCCCACAUUUUCUUAGACCUCAUUAACUUAUUUCCUUUUAAAAUUGCUAGAUAAUGACAGUACAUUAGAAGUUUAUCCAUAAAAUGACACUGAAUAAUUGGAACCCAUGUCCUGGGACAUUAAAGGACAAAGUAGCACUUCAGUGUUCAGUGUCCUGAUGCAUUUUAAAGUACCAAUGCUCAUUUUAAAGUACCAAUGCUCAUAUCAGCAAAUAGUGUGUGACUUUGAGAGAGAAUGGACACAUCAAAGCAGAAACAAGGUGUGAGGGGACAAUAUGGUUCGUCCCCAAUCUCAGCUUGCUCCUAAGAGCCAACUAAAAUAUUGAUAUAAUGCAAAAUGAAUGUCUUAAUACCCAUAAGAUCUAUUUACGUAAGUAUGUCAU
Podarcis muralis (Common wall lizard) is the source of this 3111-nucleotide long non-coding RNA. Lineage: Eukaryota; Metazoa; Chordata; Lepidosauria; Squamata; Lacertidae. The record is from Ensembl.